GAUGAACGCUAGCGGCAGGCUUAAUACAUGCAAGUCGAGGGGCAUCAAGGUACACGAAAGUGUAUUGUUGGCGACCGGCGGACGGGUGAGUAAUAGGUAGGUAACCUACCUCAUACUGAGGCAUAGCUGGGAGAAAUUCCAGGUAAUUCCUCAUGAGGUUAUAUGACACAUGUGAUAUAAUCAAAGGUAUCGCAAGGUACUGGUAUGAGAUGGGCUUACUGACCAUUAGCUAGUUGGUGAGAUAAGAGCUCACCAAGGCGAAGAUGGUUAGGGGUUUUGAGAGAGAGAUCCCCCACAUUGGAACUGAGAUACGGUCCAGACUCCUACGGGAGGCAGCAGUAGGGAAUAUUGGGCAAUGGGCGGAAGCCUGACCCAGCCAUGCCGCGUGAAGGAAGACGGCCUUAUGGGUUGUAAACUUCUUUACUAUGCGACUAACUAGAUUUACGAGAUAAUUCUAUAGAAUGUAGCAUAGACAAAAAGCAACCGGA
RNAcentral lists this ribosomal RNA (488 nucleotides) under uncultured bacterium. RNAcentral describes it as "bacterial SSU rRNA". It matches the Rfam family "Bacterial small subunit ribosomal RNA", at positions 28 to 498 of the family's 1533-position model. The record is from RNAcentral.